GUGCCAGCCGCCGCGGUAAUACAGAGGGUGCAAGCGUUGUUCGGAAUUAUUGGGCGUAAAGCGCGUGUAGGCGGCUUAGUAAGUUGGGUGUGAAAGCCCUCGGCUUAACCGAGGAAGUGCGCCCAAAACUGCUUCGCUUGAGUGCCGGAGAGGGUGGCGGAAUUCCCGGUGUAGAGGUGAAAUUCGUAGAUAUCGGGAGGAACACCAGCGGCGAAGGCGGCCACCUGGACGGUAACUGACGCUGAGACGCGAAAGCGUGGGGAGCAAACAGGAUUAGAUACCCCCGUAGUCC
This 292-nucleotide ribosomal RNA is filed under the name uncultured bacterium. RNAcentral's name for it is "partial 16S ribosomal RNA". It matches the Rfam family "Bacterial small subunit ribosomal RNA", at positions 505 to 796 of the family's 1533-position model. The record is from RNAcentral.